This 564-nucleotide long non-coding RNA is filed under the name Equus asinus (donkey). RNAcentral's name for it is "lncRNA (ENSEASG00005033565.1)". Lineage: Eukaryota; Metazoa; Chordata; Mammalia; Perissodactyla; Equidae. The record is from RNAcentral.
AAAAAAGAAGGAAAUGGUCCCAGAAUAGUUUGGCUUUCAGAGAAGCCCAAGAAUCAAUGGCACCAGAGACACAGGAUCAUGAGGGAGUGGGCCAAGAAGGGGCUGUGGAAAAGCUGGUGAUGCUCUUUACUUCUGACUUGAAAAUCCUCGCUGCUCUUGAUGAGGAGGAGCCACGUGGCCGUGGGGUCUUUCAGCCUACAUUUUUUUCAAGUCUCACCCAGUUGUGGGGCAAAGGUUCCAUGGAGCCCCUUUCAUCUCACCACCUGAGAACUGUGACCAAUGACGUGAAAAGUGCAGGAAACAGAACUAUAACUUUUACGAUUGUAAGUUCCGCCAGACUUAGAAGAUUGGUGCGCGUGAAUUCUGACAACAGCACAGAGGACGUUUCCGUGUUUACUCAGAAUCUGGCAAGACUUUUUCCUUCAUCCUUAGAUGGAGCCUUGGCAAGAAAAUGGAUGAAGGAAAGGGCACUCCAGGAACACUUGCGAGCGGCGGGCCCGGGCUCAGAGAUUUGACUUUGGCCUGGGAAAACCUCAGCACACAGCAGCAGUGUCAGGAAUCCCG